GGGCCCGUAGCUCAGCAAGGGUAGAGCGGCGGCCUUCGGCGCCGCGGGGCGGGGGAUCAAGUGCCCCCGGGCCCG
Molecule: transfer RNA, 75 nt
Filed under: Thermoproteota archaeon
Lineage: Archaea; Thermoproteati; Thermoproteota
Description: tRNA-Arg
Rfam family: tRNA
About the family: Transfer RNA (tRNA) molecules are approximately 80 nucleotides in length. Their secondary structure includes four short double-helical elements and three loops (D, anti-codon, and T loops). Further hydrogen bonds mediate the characteristic L-shaped molecular structure. tRNAs have two regions of fundamental functional importance: the anti-codon, which is responsible for specific mRNA codon recognition, and the 3' end, to which the tRNAs corresponding amino acid is attached (by aminoacyl-tRNA synthetases). tRNAs cope with the degeneracy of the genetic code in two manners: having more than one tRNA (with a specific anti-codon) for a particular amino acid; and 'wobble' base-pairing, i.e. permitting non-standard base-pairing at the 3rd anti-codon position.
Source: RNAcentral